RNAcentral lists this unclassified non-coding RNA (505 nucleotides) under Hevea brasiliensis (rubber tree). The record is from RNAcentral. Lineage: Eukaryota; Viridiplantae; Streptophyta; Magnoliopsida; Malpighiales; Euphorbiaceae.
UGGUGAUGUUGAUGCUUAAGCUCUCUUUCUUCGUUCUUAUCAACAAUGAUGGAAAUAAAAGAUCCAUCUUCUUCAUCUUUCUGAAACUUUGAUGAAGCAGCCUUUUUCACAUAAUCUUGAGCAAACUCAUCAUUCUUCUGGACCUUUUUAUCUGCUUCUUCUAUUAGUUUUCUUCUGUGUAGUUUCUCUUCUGCAUCCUGCAAGAACUUGAAUUUUGGAGGUGGAGAUGACCUCAUCUUGUUAAACUCUGCAUCUGCUGCUGAUUCAAAAUGAUGGUUGAAUCUACUUUGGUUGUAGCCAGUGUUCAUAGGAGUAAGAGGAGGUGUGAAAAAUGAUGGAGAAGCAAUAGGAGUUAGAUAUGGAGUCUCCAUAUUGAGAAGCAAGUCACUCAAGCUCCUACUUCUUGACCCUUUUGCACUCUUGUUAUCACCUCUAGACUUUGCAUCUUCUGACUCUAAAUCCUCCUUCGUUUCUUCAAUAAUUGUGAAUAGAAAUCUUGGUGGAC